ACAGAAUCUCUCUGUAAAAGAGUAAGCUGAGCAGACAGUGUGGUAGCUUCUGUCUGGAGAGUCUGAACCUUGUGCUCCAAUUCUGAAAUAUAUCUCAUCUUCCUUUCUUUGGAACGGGCAGCUGAUUGACGAUUUGCCAAAAUCCUUUUUGCACGCUUUGGAUCCGUUACUGCAAUCUCAGCAAGUUUCUCAUUUGCCAUAAUUUUCUUAAUCUCAGCACCACUAAACUCGCCAUUUCCAAAUUCCAAACUAAAGGCAUUCCCAUCCAAUGAAUUACUAGGUGAUAGUUGUCCUGGUCGAGUUCCUGGUGAUGGUGGCAGCUUUGGAGACUCAUCUCCAAAGUUCAACUUGCCCAUGAAACUAUCCAUUGAAACACUUCUGUAGUGUCUGGUGGUUGAAGCGAUAUCCCCUCCAGCAGUCCUUUUGAUCCCCUCCCUCUUCUCGGUUGAAGAACUCAAUCCUCUUGGCAAACUACUCCCACUUUCAUUCACACUGCUUUCUGCCUCAUUUUCACUGCUUUCCCCUCCAUUAGUCUUCGUUCCACUAGCUCUACUAUCCAAAUCCUCACGAUUCUCAUUACCAUUCUUAUCAUCAGUUCCGGACGAGUUCAGUGCAUCAAUGUUGUCCAAAUUCAUAUAAGCAGAAAACAAAUCAUCCACAACUUCACCUUCAGAUUUCCUCUCGCCCAUCCCCUCAGCAUUACUAUCACCACCUCUCUCCCAUUCCCUUUUCACCAACUGGACUGGCUUAGCCACCCAUGGAUUCUCUUUCCCAGACACUGACCGCUCUAGAACACCUGAACCCCUCAACUGAACAAGAGGUGGCGAAGAUUGCAUAACAUUCGUAAACCCAAAUGGAAUAUCACUGUUAGACCUCCUAUGUGUCUUGCGUGGGGGCAAGCUCUCACCAACUCGUGAAGUAUUACCCUUAUUAAAGGGCGAGGGUGGUAAUAGGGAAUGAGCACUUGCAUCCCUGUCUUCCAUGGACACAUCAGCUGGUAUUGGGUCAGACGCAGACGCUGAAGAGGAAUCACGGAAAGGGGCCGGACUUAACGGUGGCAGUGAAUCAAGCGAGAAAAAUGAUGAAGGCUGAGAUAAAGAUCUUGAAUGGGUAGGCCCUGGACUAAAGUUCGGGGAACCCAUCUGCUGGCUAGUUGGCCUAGACACCGGGAUCUGGGAAUACGGCGAAAUGGGUGGGAUCUGAUUGGGGUGGGAGGGUGGUAUCCCUACUCUUUUGCUAUUAUCAGUGCUAAAAUUCUGUGCAAAGUGUGCAAAAUGCCUGGCACGCGUAUGGGUCUGGUUCAAUUGGGGUAUAUCGAGCUGGUUAAUUGAUAAAAAUGGUUGUUUAGGCAUUGAUGAAGACGAUUGCGUAGUCCCAAACGAAGAUUGAAGCCUUUGCAUCAUUUCACUAUUAGCCUCUUCAGUAUCACCCAUUCUCUUGAACUUGAAAAACUACUCCUAAUCUAUAUUUCUAUAAUGCCCCAAACUAAAACCUUUAACUAUCACCCAAAAACCCCCAAUUUAUGAUUAACCCAGUUCACUUUUACCAAGGCCCCAAUCGAUAAAUCAAUAAACCAAAUCAAAUUCCUAGAAUCUGCAAGAAAAUACAGAAUUUUCACUUGAGUAGUAUUAUUGAAGAGCAGCAAUACCUUGUUAACAAUAGAAGGGUCAUUUCAAGCACAAUGAAGGAACCGGCGAGCAGAAAACUUCUCUUGAUUAUAGCAUUUCCGGGUUCUACUGGCGGAAAUGGCGAAGAAAAAAGAAACAAGAAUCAAGAAGCUAAAAGCUAAAGCUAAGCAGGCGGUUUCUCUCUCUAGUUUUUCUUAGGUUUUCCCUAUCUAGAAUUU
Molecule: unclassified non-coding RNA, 1846 nt
Filed under: Hevea brasiliensis (rubber tree)
Lineage: Eukaryota; Viridiplantae; Streptophyta; Magnoliopsida; Malpighiales; Euphorbiaceae
Source: RNAcentral